This 3129-nucleotide long non-coding RNA is filed under the name Salmo salar (Atlantic salmon). RNAcentral describes it as "lncRNA (ENSSSAG00000119339.1)". Lineage: Eukaryota; Metazoa; Chordata; Actinopteri; Salmoniformes; Salmonidae. The record is from RNAcentral.
AAAAAAUGUACGUGUCUGUCUCGGAGAUGGCAGAUAUUGUACCGGAACACUGUCAAAUAGAAAAUGCUACUAUUUGGGGUCUGUAGUUCUGAUUUGUUUAUUUUGUUAAGGUAACUAAACUCUAAGAGUUGUCUAUGUCAAGUUUGGAUUGAGGAAUUAACCAUCCACACUGUAAAAAAUGACCCACAGGCUUACUAAAUAUUGCAAAAGAAAAUCUGUGAUUUUUUUCUUAAAAUAAUAGGUUUGGUUUUACUUAAAUUUUGGAAUAUAGUACUUAAUUUAUGUGUUGAAAAAGACUGGCAUUUGCAAAUAAAAAUCCAAGGUAAUAUGCUGCUAAAUUUUAACUAAUAUUUCUAAGUAACAACCAAAAACGUAAAGAUCUGAUAUUGAAAUGAUCAUUAUUGUGUUGGACUGACAUGCUAGAUCUAGUUUUGAACGACAAUUGUGCUUGGAACAUUUCAAUGGAAGUCGUCUUGAUCUUUCUCCUCUGGAAUGGCCAUGUGGCAGGCAAGGACCAAAUUAUAACUUGGAAUGUAGUUUGGAUCUCUCUACACAUAUUUUCAACGAAAUUUCAAAAAUAUUCGUUAAAUAAUAUUCUUCAAGUACGAAAAGCCUUUAGCUAGCUAUAUUGCCAGAGUACGUUAUAUAUUUGCACGUUGAUAAGCUAGCUAGUUAACGGCCAUGAUGUCUGUAUAGUUAGCUAGUGAUGGGCAUGCUACUAGCUAGUAAGUUAGCAGUGCAUUUUCUCGCCUCAGCGCUGUUUAACUUUUGCCAUUUUUGUGUAUAGGUUUUCACGUAUUCAGACGUUCCUGAGUUCUGGACAUACCAUAUUUUCCAGAAUACAUUGACAAGAUAGCAUAUAGGGGCAGCAGGUAGCCUAGUGGUUAGAGUGUUGGGCCAGUAACCAAAAGGCUGCUGGAUUGAAUCCCGGAGAUGACAAGGGAUCAGGUGGCACAUGCAAUGUAAGAUCUCCAGUUUUGCAGCAUUCAAGUACAAAUACGUGACAACCACAACAUUGUGAGUGCCAAAAUGGCAAAGACCUUCUCAUAUUGAAGACAAGAUGUCGUUCAGGCCCUUCCUGUGAAGGACUUCAAAGAAAGAUGGCCAGCCCUGUUUGAGCCCACUCAGAUUAAGGAAGAGUUCAGAAGAAUUACAACUGUUGCUCUUGAGUCCACCUUUAUCCAGAAGCUGGACGAAUAUACACCAAAACUAUUGGACUUGUUUAAGUCAAAACGAGGUGCUGUAAAGUGCAACACCAUCCAGGAAAGAAGAGACAGUGUGAUCCGUGGCCUGAUCAUAUACCUUGGUGAGAGGUUUGAAGACCUUAUUACAGAAUACAAGGAUGCUAACGACGCCAUGAUCCGAGAGGACCUCGUUCAGCAUGUGAUGAAGGUGUUCACUGUGAAGGAUCUGCACCAGAAUAUAGAGCAUGUGAUCUACAAUCGAAGGAGCAGAGGUCCUGGCAGGUAUUUGCAGUGUUACAGUCAUGUAACAGGUACCCAAAAUAACUGAAAUAAGGUACCCAAAAGAACUGAAAUAUACCUUUGAGGUGUUCCAAAAAGUAUUCUUAGAACUUGAUGAUCUCAGGACCUUUCCACGGUUCCAAGCUCUAAAGAUGAAGUUACUUGUUUUCAGAGAUAUCUAUGAGAACUCUCAAAGGGCCACUCACAAACUGUGGUCUAAACCCUACUCAGUAAGCUGAUAAGCUAGUUGCUAGGUGGUAUAGGAGCUACAGUUUACAUGAUGUUCUUUUUCAAGUGAAGUCAUAAGAGACAUUGUUAAUUCCUGGUUAAAAAAACUGCUUUGUUUUAAAAGUUACUUCAUAUGCACUAGUGAAUUUCUGAGAUUAUUUGUAGUCAGGUGCAAGCUAUCUGGAUGCAACUUUACCUAAGGAGGCAAGGUGGAGUUGUACCCAGAAUGCUUAUACCUGUCAAAAUAAUAUGUCCAUAUGGGCUUCACUAGUGCAAAUGGAGUCAGGUUUAAGGGACAAUUUGGCAUAUAUUUUGUAACAAUAUGUGCAAUGUAUGUUUUGAAAAGCCAUGUUUUGAUUAAUCUAAAACAGUUUGAAUGAGGAGGUAUUUGAGCUAAAGUUCAUAUUGUGCUUUGUGUAAAGUCUAUUAAGAUAAAUCGUUAAUUUACGUUUCUGUUAAAAUAUCGCUUUGAUGUUAAGGGGCACACAGACCAGGGAAUUCUUGCUAAAAUGUACAAGAUGUGAGGUCUAAGUGCUAAUCCCAAACUAUCACCUAAACUUUAUGCAGCUGUGAAGAUCUGAAAUGAUUUGUAGUCAGGUGCAAGCUAUCUGGAUGUUAUACCCAGAAUGCUUACAGAUUACAAAAUAAUGAGCUCCACAAAUGCUUAAGGAGUAGGGUUUAAUUUGAGAUUGAAGUUUGAAGAAAACCUUUAUUCAAAAUAAAGUUGUUGAAGUUUGAAGUUGAACACUGUUGUUUCUUUUUGCAUAUUCCCUUCUAUAGAAAAAAAUAAAAAAACGUAAAUUAUCCCAAGUAUAUUGAGGUAACUAUUUGCAUCAGCUUUUUAAGUAUAGUUGUGAGUAUAUAUUUGAGUAGUAGGAACCCAAUUUAAAUACAUUUUACUAACCUGAGUACCAUAAGUAACUGAGCAAAAAACAUUUGUAGAUUAAACAUAGAAUAUAAAUUACGGUACUGAGUAAAUUCAGCAAAUGAAACUUACAAUAUUAGUUCAGUAACUGAUUACAUUAAGUAUAUCAAACGUAUAACAUUAGUUCUGGGACUUGAAGGACUUAAGCAGGUCAAAAAAAAAAACUGAUGAUCCUGAUAAAAUUAAGUUGAAUGAAAGGAAUUUUUGAGAUCCUGUUAGUUGUUUGCACUUAAAAUAUUUGAGUUUGUAAUGUACUAAAAGCGAAGUAUAUUAUACUUAAAUGAUCCUCCUUGUUGGAUUUACUUAAAAGACCGAUGCAAAUAAUGACCAAAUUUUUUGGAGGAAAAGGGGCACAAUAUUUUUUACAGUGCAAUGAUAACUCUCAUCACGAGUUCCCAUGAGAGCGAGAAAGAGAGAGACAUUUUUACACAUGCCUCCAAGCAUCCCAGUUCUCCUGAACUCAUAGCUAUCUGAACUUGGUUAUCUGGUGCAUCUAAUCCUAUUAGCACUCAC